GAACAUUGAGCCUUGAUGUGUAGGAUAGGUGGGAGGCUUUGAAGUGUGGACGCCAGUCUGCAUGGAGCCGACCUUGAAAUACCACCCUUUAAUGUUUGAUGUUCUAACGUGGACCCGUGAUCCGGGUUGCGGACAGUGUCUGGUGGGUAGUUUGACUGGGGCGGUCUCCUCCUAAAGAGUAACGGAGGAGCACGAAGGUUGGCUAAUCCUGGUCGGACAUCAGGAGGUUAGUGCAAUGGCAUAAGCCAGCUUGACUGCGAGCGUGACGGCGCGAGCAGGUGCGAAAGCAGGUCAUAGUGAUCCGGUGGUUCUGAAUGGAAGGGCCAUCGCUCAACGGAUAAAAGGUACUCCGGGGAUAACAGGCUGAUACCGCCCAAGAGUUCAUAUCGACGGCGGUGUUUGGCACCUCGAUGUCGGCUCAUCACAUCCUGGGGCUGAAGUAGGUCCCAAGGGUAUGGCUGUUCGCCAUUUAAAGUGGUACGCGAGCUGGGUUUAGAACGUCGUGAGACAGUUCGGUCCCUAUCUGCCGUGGGCGCUGGAGAACUGAGGGGGGCUGCUCCUAGUACGAGAGGACCGGAGUGGACGCAUCACUGGUGUUCGGGUUGUCAUGCCAAUGGCACUGCCCGGUAGCUAAAUGCGGAAGAGAUAAGUGCUGAAAGCAUCUAAGCACGAAACUUGCCCCGA
This 684-nucleotide ribosomal RNA is filed under the name Salmonella enterica. RNAcentral's name for it is "partial 23S ribosomal RNA". It matches the Rfam family "Bacterial large subunit ribosomal RNA", at positions 2119 to 2802 of the family's 2925-position model. Lineage: Bacteria; Pseudomonadati; Pseudomonadota; Gammaproteobacteria; Enterobacterales; Enterobacteriaceae. The record is from RNAcentral.